RNAcentral lists this ribosomal RNA (450 nucleotides) under uncultured bacterium. RNAcentral's name for it is "bacterial SSU rRNA". It matches the Rfam family "Bacterial small subunit ribosomal RNA", at positions 354 to 796 of the family's 1533-position model. The record is from RNAcentral.
GUGGGGAAUAUUGGACAAUGGGCGAAAGCCUGAUCCAGCCAUGCCGCGUGUGUGAAGAAGGUCUUCGGAUUGUAAAGCACUUUAAGUUGGGAGGAAGGGCAGUAAGUUAAUACCUUGCUGUUUUGACGUUACCGACAGAAUAAGCACCGGCUAACUUCGUGCCAGCAGCCGCGGUAAUACGAAGGGUGCAAGCGUUAAUCGGAAUUACUGGGCGUAAAGCGCGCGUAGGUGGUUUUGUAAGUUGGAGGUGAAAUCCCCGGGCUCAACCUGGGAACUGCCUCCAAAACUGGAUGACUAGAGUACGGUAGAGGGUAGUGGAAUUUCCUGUGUAGCGGUGAAAUGCGUAGAUAUAGGAAGGAACACCAGUGGCGAAGGCGACUACCUGGACUGAUACUGACACUGAGGUGCGAAAGCGUGGGGAGCAAACAGGAUUAGAAACCCCUGUAGUCC